UGGGGAAUAUUGCACAAUGGGCGCAAGCCUGAUGCAGCGACGCCGCGUGGGGGAUGACGGCCUUCGGGUUGUAAACUCCUUUCGCUAGGGACGAAGCUUUUUGUGACGGUACCUAGAUAAGAAGCACCGGCUAACUACGUGCCAGCAGCCGCGGUAAUACGUAGGGUGCGAGCGUUGUCCGGAAUUACUGGGCGUAAAGGGCUCGUAGGUGGUUUGUCGCGUCGUCUGUGAAAUUCCGGGGCUUAACUCCGGGCGUGCAGGCGAUACGGGCAUAACUUGAGUACUGUAGGGGUAACUGGAAAUCCUGGUGUAGCGGUGAAAUGCGCAGAUAUCAGGAGGAACACCGAUGGCGAAGGCAGGUUACUGGGCAGUUACUGACGCUGAGGAGCGAAAGCAUGGGUAGCGAACAGG
RNAcentral lists this ribosomal RNA (411 nucleotides) under Actinomycetes bacterium. RNAcentral's name for it is "Actinobacteria bacterium partial 16S ribosomal RNA". It matches the Rfam family "Bacterial small subunit ribosomal RNA", at positions 355 to 776 of the family's 1533-position model. The record is from RNAcentral. Lineage: Bacteria; Bacillati; Actinomycetota; Actinomycetes.